Molecule: long non-coding RNA, 4209 nt
Filed under: Mus musculus (house mouse)
Lineage: Eukaryota; Metazoa; Chordata; Mammalia; Rodentia; Muridae
Description: long non-coding RNA chr11:16758309-16762518
Source: RNAcentral
GGGCACCUAUGCCUGUGUGUGACUUAGGGAUCUCUGCAGGUGACCUGGGAGAGUUUGAAAAUCGACUUUAUUUUGGAAGUAGAAAUAUGAUACCAGACAAUUUUACCGUUAACAUGAGUGUGUGUGCAUUGACUGGCUGACAUCAUGACUGCGUUAGCAGCUGUGCUCCUGGUGUAGUGUUGUUAAGACUACUGCCAAUGCUCUGUCCCCGUCGUCCACUUUGAGAUAAAACGGAUGCGUUGUGAAGAUCUCUGAGAACGAAGAUAAAUGAGAUUUCUACUGAAUGGUGUGGUUCUCUGCCUUUUGCCAUAACUUUUCACUAUUUUAGUGUCAUGAAUAUAGGACUCUAUGUAUACACACACGUGCAUGCAAUACCAAUUAAUUAAAAAAAAAUAGAGGCCCUGACUCUGAAAAAGAGAGGGGAAAGGUAAGUGUGCAGGCUUGGAGAAAAGAAGGGAAGGGAGCAAUGUUGCAAUUAUUGUAUAAGCCUAGCAAUAAAAAAAAACUGAAAUAAAAUAAUUUGUUGAAUUUGUGUAAAUCCUUAAGGCCAGGAGUCUCUGAAUAUUUGAUGUCACUGAAAGAUUUCAAAAGUUUUUUUUUUUCUUAAACAUUUCAGAUGUCACAACCUGGUUCUAUUUAUUUAAAGGAAAAUAGAAAAUGCUUAAAAGCUGUGGGGAAAUUUAACUUACGAUCACACUUAACUUUCCCUACUUACACAUGCGUUGCCUGAUUUAGUCCCACACCAUAUUACCCACUGAAUAUGCUGAAAAUUCAGCUGAGCACACUCAUUUACACAAACCACCACUUUAAGUGUGGUCUGGUAGUAACUUGUAAAGCCUAAUGACUGAGCUAUAUUUUUCUUUCUAAAGUGUAUUUUAGUGUAGCAUUAGAGAGACAAGCAAUGAUUCUCUUACAUACUUUCCUGGAGCGCAUGUGUGCGUGCGUGUCUGAGUGUGUCUGCCGCUGCUGCCUUAGUGUGGAGAUCAGAAGACAAUGUGUGGGAAUCGGUUUUCUCCUUCCACUGUAUGGAUCCUGAAGAUCAAACUCAGUAUUUCAGGCUUAAUAGUUAUCACUGUUAUCCUCUGAGCCAUCUUGCUGGCCCAAAUUUUACUUGAGAAAUUAGAAGCUUGAUUAAUUUUUUUUUAACACGUUAGGUCAUAGCUUCUGUCAGCUUGACAGGAUCAAAAAUACUUGCAAGAAAAAUAGGGGCCAAAGUACCCUGGUUCAGCUGUUGGGACAGUCAUUGAUGUCCAUGGCAACACGUGGCCACUCAGCAGCUGGGUCUAUGGCGGUCAUUGGGUCACUUCUAAAAUUUAAAGGAAAGCACACAGUUAAACUCAGUAGAAAUUGAAAUAGCUAUUCUCAAACAAGACAACAAAUUGUAUACACACACACACACACACACACACACACACACACACACACCAGGGAUGGCUUGUUCUCUAUAUAAUAUCCAGUAUUUAAACUAUUCCAUCUGGAGUGAGACUUAAGACCCUUGACUUUUUAAAUUUUUAAAAAUAUAUUUUUCUUUAUUCACUUUUCAUGCCCUCUCCUGAUCACCCCCUCCAACAGUCCUUCUCUCAUCUCCCUCCCCUUCUUCUCUGAGAGGGUGGGACCCCACUCGCACCAACCCCCAGUGUCUGCCUACCCUGGCACUUCAAGUCUCUAUAAGGCUAGACAUGAGCAUGGACUUUUAAGGAGAAAUUGUUAUAUACAACAAAUUAUUCACUCAGAGGAACUUUGUUGGUUGAAUGAAUGGAAUGUGGAAUGUGACCUGAGUAGCUCACUCUUGGAUGGUGAGGUACCUUUCCCUUAAGAAAUGUCUAAGCGCAAUGUUAUUUUCCUUCACUGAGAAGGAAGUAACACUUUGUCACUGCCGAGUCUUCACAGCGGAAACUUUUCAGGGCUCGGGCUGAAAUUCCUGCAAAGCAAGUUCAUGUAUCCUGACUCUCAUGUGAAAUAGAGGAAAGUCCCGGAUGUCAGUGGAGCAAUAGAUCUGUGGUUAUUGUCCUACAUUGUCAGUUUCAACGAUGACACUGAGAAGGCAGAUGACUGAUUUUUCAACCAAAGGAGAUGAUGAACAUUGCCAUAAACCAAAGCGUUCAAUGAGCAGCCUGUUAGGUUGUUGGUUGCAGGGUAGCUUUAGUAAUUAGACCUUGAAGGUGUUGCAAGUUACCUGUCCAAAUGUGUGCUGAGUUUUCUUGAGUCAACAGAAGUUUGCAGAGCAAGGCCAGAACAGAAGGCCGAGCAACUUGGAGAAGAAGAAUCAGCGGUCAGUGAGAGUUAUUUGGGGGUUUGCCUCAAUUUUACCCUUUCGAAGACAAACCUAGUGAUAUACCUGGCUUGGGUGAGAGGUGGUUGAGAGAGAAAAGUCCCAGGUGGCUGAUCAUCUGAGCUCAGCCUUUCCUCGUGGCAUAAUAUUGUUCUUAAGCCUAUUGCUUUUGAAAAAGCCAAUUUUAGUUUUGUUGGGUAAAAGGUAUGGCAAAAGCCUCCAAAUAUUCGUAUGGUUGCUCAGCUGCAGAAAUAUAAGACUGUGUAAGGAGGGCAGUAUUGUUUAAACUCACACAUUCAACACCUGGUGCAUGCUAAAGCAAGCAGUGACAGUGGGGUACAAGGAAAGGUGACCUGCUAAUUGCAUGCUCUUUCUCUUGCAAAUUUUGGAGUUUUGUGUAUGUUUUUUGUUUGUUUGUUUGUUUCUUGAAAACAUAUGUGAGUGCUGAUCUCAUGGCACUUACAUAUCACACUCACAGGAAGUUCUACUCAUCCAGAGAAGGCCCCCAGAUCAGUUAAGAGUACCCUCAAACAGAACAGAUAAUAUUUAAUUAACACCCAGACGUUUGGACAAAAGACGUCAAGCAUGCCACCUUAGUGGCGUCAUUCUUAGCAGACAGGGAGAACAAUUAAAUCAUUAAGUCAGUGUCUGCCUGAGGAAGCAGGUUGGCAUAGCUGUGUACAGAUGCAAUGGGUCUCUAAGGUUUCUUCCACUGAGUUUCAUCUGCACAGACUUCUGGGCUGUCUUGUAUAAUUAGCAGAGUCUUGACAUGCUCCUGAUUGCGUCUAACAAGUGGAACAAAUAGGAAUCAUGACACAAAUAUACAACACACACUGCAAUCCAGGCUAAGUGGCCAUUUGUGCACAUGACAGACAAAGCUGGCUUUGCACUUUUGUGCAGACUCUAGCUAUCUAAUGCUCUGUUACUAUAAUUACUAUUAUUACUUUACAGCAAAUGUGUCUGAUCAUCUGCUGGUUACAGAUGCCCGCUGGGGUCCCCAGAACUGUUUUUCUCACAGAACCUGUAUCUGUUUCUAUAUGCUCGGAUUCUAAAAUAGAACGUUUUUUUGUCAUUUACUGAUGAGGGAAAAAAACAGCCAGGUGUUUCUUUGUAGAAUAGGGGUACUGGACACACAUAUUCAGCCAGGAAUGUACUACAAUUUGUGGGAUAAAGGGACUCACCAUGUCAGAGGUCAAAAGAAACCACUUGUGCAGAGUUCAGACUUCUUAGACAGAUGCUUGAAAACUUCCAUUGAUUCUAAAUUUGUUUCGAAAUGACCAUGUCUAUAAAUAUUUUUUUUUCAAAAUUGCAAUAGUCUAGGGAAUACAUUAGGCAAGCCAUCCUAAGAGUGGUCCUACUAGCCUUGAUGGGUAUUUUCUUUUUAUUCCAGAAAAAAACAAAGAUACCUUACUAUCUCAAGCACCUAUGGAAUGAUAAAUCUUUGUAAGCAUGAAUAGCGAAAUGCACACAUGGAAGUAAACUAUGAAUAUCCCUAUACAAUGCUUGUACCAAAAUAUGCUGUCUAUGAUUUGGCUUUUGGGGGGCAGAAACCUCUUAAUAAGAAUCACUUGUUAUGAACUAACCAGUACCCCCAGAGCUCCUUGAAACUAACCCACCAAUCAAGGAAAACACAUGGUGGAACUUGUGGCUCUACCUGUAUAUGUAGUAGAGGAUGGCCUAGUUGGUCAUCAAUGGGAGGAGAAGCCCUAGGUCCUGUGAAGGUUCUAUGCCCCAGAAUAGGGGAAUGCCAGGACUGGGAAUGGGAGUGGGUGAGUUGGGGAGCAGGGGUAGAGGGGAAGGGAUAGAGGAGUUUCGGUGGGGAAACUAGGAAAGGGGAUAAAAUUUGAAAUGUAAAUAAAGAAAAUAUCUAAUAAAAAUAUUUUUUAAAAAUUGAAAAAUAAAAGAAUCAUUUGUUAAUCUUCAUUUUCCAGAUGGAC